UACAGAUGGGGCAAGCGUUGUUCGGAAUUACUGGGCGUAAAGGGCGCGUAGGCGGCCUUCUAAGUCGAACGUGAAAUCCCCGGGCUCAACCCGGGAACUGCGUCCGAUACUGGAAGGCUUGAAUCCGGGAGAGGGAUGCGGAAUUCCAGGUGUAGCGGUGAAAUGCGUAGAUAUUGGGAGGAACACCAGUGGCGAAGGCGGCUCACUGGACCGGUACUGACGCUGAGGCGCGAAAGCGUGGGUAGCAAACAGG
Molecule: ribosomal RNA, 253 nt
Filed under: uncultured bacterium
Lineage: Bacteria
Description: partial 16S ribosomal RNA
Rfam family: Bacterial small subunit ribosomal RNA
Source: RNAcentral